UGCCUGGUAGUGUAACGGUAGCACGACUGACUCUGACUCAGUUAGUCAAGGUUCGAAUCCUUGCCGGGCAA
RNAcentral lists this transfer RNA (71 nucleotides) under Planctomycetaceae bacterium. Its description in RNAcentral is "tRNA-Gln". It matches the Rfam family "tRNA". From Rfam's summary of the family: Transfer RNA (tRNA) molecules are approximately 80 nucleotides in length. Their secondary structure includes four short double-helical elements and three loops (D, anti-codon, and T loops). RNAcentral also lists the same sequence under 1 other name. Lineage: Bacteria; Pseudomonadati; Planctomycetota; Planctomycetia; Planctomycetales; Planctomycetaceae. The record is from RNAcentral.